GAAAAGAACUUUGAAAAGAGAGUUAAAUAGUACGUGAAAUUGUUGAAAGGGAAACGAUUGAAGUCAGUCGUACUGGCGAAAAAUCAACUACUCGAGUGAGUACUUGUGGGCGUACGUGAGCUUCACGGCCGCGUUGUUUGCAAUGUUCGUGCUCUUGUGGUGUACUUUUUCGUGUGGUAGGUCAAUGUCGGUUUUGGACGCCAUAAAAUGAUCGGAGGAAUGUAGCUUCGACCUCGGUUGAAGUGUUAUAGCCUUUGGUAGAUGUGACGUUCGGGACCGAGGAUUGCAACGGAUGCUCAAACGGGCUAUCCGCCUGGUCUCUGAUGGUUAGCUGGGUGCCGAAAGCAUGCUUACGGUUAUCCAAGUUGACUGUCAAUAGAUUAGAACGUGAUUACAUUCG
This 400-nucleotide ribosomal RNA is filed under the name uncultured Glomeromycotina. RNAcentral's name for it is "eukaryotic LSU rRNA". The record is from RNAcentral. Lineage: Eukaryota; Fungi; Glomeromycota.